UUAAAUUGAAGAGUUUGAUCAUGGCUCAGAUUGAACGCUGGCGGCAGGCCUAACACAUGCAAGUCGAACGGUACCAGGAAGCAGCUUG
Molecule: ribosomal RNA, 88 nt
Filed under: Escherichia coli
Lineage: Bacteria; Pseudomonadati; Pseudomonadota; Gammaproteobacteria; Enterobacterales; Enterobacteriaceae
Description: partial 16S ribosomal RNA
Rfam family: Bacterial small subunit ribosomal RNA
Source: RNAcentral